CCCAGCUAGUCAUGCUGGAGCACUUUUUCAAUGGGCUCCCCAACGACAAGGCUACGACGCAUUCGUAUGUCAUCCAUAUCAACGUUCAAUGCCACUUUCUGCGCCUACCAUGGUGAACACGGGUAAUGGGGAAUCGGGGUUCGAUUCCGGAGAGGGAGCCUGAGAAAUGGCUACCACAUGCAAGGAAAGCAGCAGGCGCGCAAAUGACCCACUCCCGACGCAGGAAGGUAGUGACG
Pelobates cultripes (western spadefoot toad) is the source of this 236-nucleotide non-coding RNA. The record is from the annotation of a GenBank genome assembly. Lineage: Eukaryota; Metazoa; Chordata; Amphibia; Anura; Pelobatidae.